CUUGUCUGUAUAGGAGUUAUAUCAUGUUCCUGACAACACUCUCCGCUGCCCUUCAGAAACUUAAUAAAUAUGUGACCAAGGACACCACAGAACCAUCCAAUCUGUUGGGGAGAAAUCCAGAUGGAUUGAACCAACAAGAAGGAUUCUAAGGAGAACUAGAGCACGUGGGAGGAACAGCACGUAAGCUCCAUAAGGAAAGGGGUUUCUCUGCUCUGUGCACGACUGCCUGGCACCCAGCAAGGACUUGAAACACGGGGAGUGCGGACUGAAAUGUGGCCUCCCGGCGUGAGCAUUCUCCCUGCAGCUUGCAGCUACCAGUGACCGCCCAGCACGACGGCCACCACCAGCAAGUGUGAAAGAAUUCUGUGAGCUGGAUGGAGCAGAUGUGAUUCUUCUGGAAGAGUAUGGAAGGUGUCUCUGCAUGGCCCCAGGUUUCCCCUGACCGCAGGUGUGGUCUGUGCAGGGCAACAUCAUGGCAGGAAGAUGCCCACCUCGCAUCCUUCCUGCACUGACUAUCCCAUCCAACAAUUUCUGCUGCUUCCCCAGCUUUUCCAUCACCUUAACGACCAGGGGAAAGCCCAGAGGGUGAAUAAAGGGGAAGGGUUCAAACUCCCUCAGGUCGACAAACCAUGAAACUGGGCAGUUGUCUGAAACGAAACAUCCACAGAGGGCACUUCAUAGUUGACAAUUGAUUGGAAGCCCAGGUUUAAAGGGCUUAAUGCCCAUCCUUAGUAUGUGGAGGGUGGGUUCUGGUACCUACAAGAAGAUACAGAUCUUUGCCAAGAUGCCACAAGGCAGGGCUGAGAAGAAUCUGACAAUUCUCCCUCAUACUUCUUUGUCUACAGCUGGGGAAGCUCUUGCUUCAAGAAAGACACAGACUGUUUCUGAUUAGUUCAUUCAUUUAUUCUUUUCU
Rhinolophus ferrumequinum (greater horseshoe bat) is the source of this 913-nucleotide long non-coding RNA. RefSeq lists it as uncharacterized. Lineage: Eukaryota; Metazoa; Chordata; Mammalia; Chiroptera; Rhinolophidae. The record is from RefSeq and is a predicted model, not a curated record. The transcript is spliced from 4 exons.